Molecule: ribosomal RNA, 483 nt
Filed under: uncultured bacterium
Lineage: Bacteria
Description: bacterial SSU rRNA
Rfam family: Bacterial small subunit ribosomal RNA
Source: RNAcentral
GAUGAACGCUAGCGACAGGCCUAACACAUGCAAGUCGAGGGGCAGCACAAGGAGCAAUCUGAGGUGGCGACCGGCGCACGGGUGAGUAACACGUAUGCAACCUACCUGUAAGAGGGGAAUAACCCGUUGAAAACGGACUAAUACCGCAUAACACUGUAGAACCGCAUGGUUUGACAGUUAAACAUUUAUGGCUUACAGAUGGGCAUGCGCAUGAUUAGCUAGUUGGUGAGGUAACGGCUCACCAAGGCAACGAUCAUUAGGGGUUCUGAGAGGAAGGUCCCCCACACUGGUACUGAGACACGGACCAGACUCCUACGGGAGGCAGCAGUGAGGAAUAUUGGUCAAUGGGCGAGAGCCUGAACCAGCCAAGUCGCGUGAAGGAUGAAGGUUUUAUGAAUUGUAAACUUCUUUUGCAGGGGAAUAAAGUGUCCGACGUGUCGGAUUUUGUAUGUACUCUGCGAAUAAGGAUCGGCUAACUCCGUG